AACUCUUUUGUAUUUUAGUGGCCUCUCUGAGAAAACAAGCAAAUAAGUUAAAACUUUCAACAACGGAUCUCUUGGUUCUGGCAUCGAUGAAGAACGCAGCGAAAUGCGAUAAGUAAUGUGAAUUGCAGAAUUCAGUGAAUCAUCGAAUCUUUGAACGCACAUUGCGCCCGCUAGUAUUCUAGCGGGCAUGCCUGUUCGAGCGUCAUUUCAACCCUCAAGCCCUGCUUGGUGUUGGGGUCCUACGGCUGCCGUAGGCCCUUAAAACUAGUGGCGGGCUCGCUAUAACUCCGAGCGUAGUAGUAAAAUAUCUCGCUAGGGAGGUGUCGCGGGUUCCGGCCGUGAAAGCCCCAUCUUUUACACAAGGUUGACCUCGGAUCAGGUAGGAAUACCCGCUGAACUUAAGCAUAUCAAUAAGCGGAGGAAAAGAAACCAACAGGGAUUGCCCCAGUAACGGCGAGUGAAGCGGCAACAGCUCAAAUUUGAAAUCUGGCUUCGGCCCGAGUUGUAAUUUGUAGAGGAUGCUUUUGGUGAGGUGCCUUGUGAGUUCCCUGGAACGGGACGCCAGAGAGGGUGAGAGCCCCGUAUACUUGGACACCGAGCCUCUGUAAAGCUCCUUCGACGAGUCGAGUAGUUUGGGAAUGCUGCUCUAAAUGGGAGGUAUAUCU
Molecule: ribosomal RNA, 665 nt
Filed under: Sordariomycetes sp. genotype 156
Lineage: Eukaryota; Fungi; Ascomycota; Sordariomycetes
Description: eukaryotic LSU rRNA
Rfam family: Eukaryotic large subunit ribosomal RNA (bases 366-665)
Source: RNAcentral